This 204-nucleotide ribosomal RNA is filed under the name Bacillus subtilis. RNAcentral describes it as "partial 16S ribosomal RNA". It matches the Rfam family "Bacterial small subunit ribosomal RNA", at positions 327 to 523 of the family's 1533-position model. The record is from RNAcentral. Lineage: Bacteria; Bacillati; Bacillota; Bacilli; Caryophanales; Bacillaceae.
CGGCCCAGACUCCUACGGGAGGCAGCAGUAGGGAAUCUUCCGCAAUGGACGAAAGUCUGACGGAGCAACGCCGCGUGAGUGAUGAAGGUUUUCGGAUCGUAAAGCUCUGUUGUUAGGGAAGAACAAGUACCGUUCGAAUAGGGCGGUACCUUGACGGUACCUAACCAGAAAGCCACGGCUACUACGUGCCAGCAGCCGCGGUAA